Molecule: ribosomal RNA, 253 nt
Filed under: uncultured bacterium
Lineage: Bacteria
Description: partial 16S ribosomal RNA
Rfam family: Bacterial small subunit ribosomal RNA
Source: RNAcentral
UACAGAGGGGGCUAGCGUUGCUCGGAAUCACUGGGCGUAAAGCGCACGUAGGCGGCUUUCUAAGUCAGGGGUGAAAUCCUGGAGCUCAACUCCAGAACUGCCUUUGAUACUGGGAAGCUUGAGUCCGGAAGAGGUGAGUGGAACUCCGAGUGUAGAGGUGAAAUUCGUAGAUAUUCGGAAGAACACCAGUGGCGAAGGCGGCUCACUGGUCCGGUACUGACGCUGAGGUGCGAAAGCGUGGGGAGCAAGCAGG